Non-coding RNA from Pelobates cultripes (western spadefoot toad), 233 nucleotides. The record is from the annotation of a GenBank genome assembly. NCBI's taxonomy places the organism in Eukaryota, Metazoa, Chordata, Amphibia, Anura, Pelobatidae.
CACGGUUCCAAAGGCUAAACAGCACCAGCUGUCACUUACACAAUUUAUGAGGUAUCCUUACAGACACAGAAAGCGAACUUUUCACAGCGAAGAGCCAUAAAACCCUGGCUAACAGUUAGAUCAACUGAGUAACCCUUUCAAUGCUGGCUAGAUCCUCCUAGGCAUAUAGUAUCCUAUUCUCCUGUGAUUUUCAAUUAAAUUAACAUUUGAACCAGCUCAUUAGUCAUUUCCUG